UACGUAGGUGGCGAGCGUUGUCCGGAUUUACUGGGCGUAAAGGGAGCGUAGGCGGACUUUUAAGUGAGAUGUGAAAUACUCGGGCUCAACUUGAGUGCUGCAUUUCAAACUGGAAGUCUAGAGUGCAGGAGAGGAGAGUGGAAUUCCAUGUGUAGCGGUGAAAUGCGUAGAUAUAUGGAGGAACACCGGUGGCGAAAGCGGCUCUCUGGCCUGUAGCUGACACUGAGGCUCGAAAGCGUGGGGAGCAAACAGG
Molecule: ribosomal RNA, 253 nt
Filed under: uncultured bacterium
Lineage: Bacteria
Description: partial 16S ribosomal RNA
Rfam family: Bacterial small subunit ribosomal RNA
Source: RNAcentral